Molecule: long non-coding RNA, 432 nt
Filed under: Mytilus galloprovincialis (Mediterranean mussel)
Lineage: Eukaryota; Metazoa; Mollusca; Bivalvia; Mytilida; Mytilidae
Source: RNAcentral
GUCCGCCUCGUUGCCACCGUAUGUUUUCAUACUGUCCGAUUCGUUGGUCAUAUUCAUGAUCGAUAUCUUAAGCAAAAGUAAGAUUGAAACAUGCAAUUUAUCCACAUUUAAACUUUAUUCAACACAGAUACUGUCUAUGAUUAUAUAUGGAAAAUAUUUAUAGAUUAUAUAUUCAGCUUGGAUCUCGUGUCAAUUAAAGGGGGACAUUGGUCACUCUUCCAGAACCUUUACUCAUGUCUGCUGCUCGUAUUCAUCGUUUGCGGACCUUGUUGUUAGAUUCUCUACCGAUAUAAUAUUCUAAUAAAUGCAUGGUGAAUUCAGUACACAUGUUCCCUAUGACAUGAUCUUUCUAAUUUAAUGCAAAAUUAGAGUUUUGAUCCAAUUUUACGGCCUAAUGAACAUAGAAAACGAUAGUGCGAGUGGGGCAUCCGU